This 3099-nucleotide long non-coding RNA is filed under the name Homo sapiens (human). RNAcentral describes it as "non-protein coding NOP14-AS1:22". Lineage: Eukaryota; Metazoa; Chordata; Mammalia; Primates; Hominidae. The record is from RNAcentral.
AGUGGCGGGGUUCUCGCCGGUCCUGCGGGUCGCUGCUUGGCUGUGGGUUAGCAGCACCCUGAGCGGAGCGGAAGAGCUGCCCGCCGCCGCGUAACCCCGAGGCCGAGACUCCUGGCCUGGCCUCCUUGGGCCCACGACGCCUGCCCCGCGGAGCGGACCCAUGGGCCUGAGGUUUGUGUGCGGGGCCUCAGGCGAGCGCUGGCGCAGCCUGUCCCCCAUCGUCUGCGCCCUGCGGGCCUGGCCCUCCCCGUGGAAGGACCGCGGGCUUCGGGGCCCCACGCUGGGGGGCUGACUCCUGCCACACACACAGCGGUGGCCGCGGGCCUGGGGCGGCAGCACAGCCAUUCUGCUCGGGCUGCGUGAGCUGACCCCGCUCUCUGUGCACCUACUUUUGCUGCGUUUGGUGCUGAGCCUGAAGUCCCAGGACAGGCGGCUGAGGGGGAAAGAUGGUGUGAAUUGGGUGGGCAGAGACAACUGAAAGCCACAGGACCCGGUUGGCACCUUUUUGGCCGCCUGCGCCUUUGCCUGCAGCCCCGCUCCCUGGGUCACCCGAAGGAGGAGCUGGCGCUCUUUCCGGGCGCAGAAGCACCCGACCCACGCUGGAGGAAACGGUCCCUCUGGGCAGGAGAAGCUUUGGGCCUGGCUGGAGCACACUCACGGAACCACGCCAACGCCUGGCCUGUAGCCAGCUCCCACCUCCCCUCCCACCUUCUAAAAUGCUUGCGGAUCUCACGUGGCCGACCCUAACCAGAUACACAUGGGGAAAGGAAUCAGGUGGCACACAUACCGCCUUUACUCCAUAGAGAACUUCCAAUUGUGGGUAAGAACAAAGCCCCACCUCUUCCUAAUAGAUGCAGUUUUCCACCUGCAGCCAAAAAGACAACCUGUUAUUAGCUUUUUUCCCAGAGGACAGGCAUCUCUAUGAAACUGCCAUUGCAAAAUUUGCCGACAGUGAGAUAACCAGCUCCAUUUUGCUUCUAACCUCCAUGCCCUCCUUGUUUACUGCUGCACGCAGGUUGAACUGUGGGAGGAACUUAGUUUAAAACAAAGAUGAUAACAGCCCUUUCCCAAAGGAAACCUUUCCUGGGGAUUAGCCUGCUUUUGUGGGACCAACAGAUUAGCCACAAGAUUAGAAACUACGGUUGAAGAGUCACGCAGCGGGAGGCUACAGGAUUCUGACCCUCCCCAAACUGCUCCUGGCGAUAACAUCACCAUCGUAAAGCCUAAGAUCAGCACUUGGUGGGUCACCUGGCACCACCCAGGCUCAUCUGAUGUUGUGGCACCCAGGAACUGACUCAGUGCGAAAACAGCUUCGACUCCCUGUGAUUUCAUCUCUGACCUGACCAAUGGGUACUUCUGACUCACUGGCUGCCCCCCACCCACCAGCUUAUCUUUAAAAACUCCAAACCCCAGAUGCUCAGGGAGACCGAGUAAUAAUAAAACUCCAGUCUCCCACACAGCUAGCUCUGCGUGAAUUACCUUUUCUCUGUUGCAAAUGCCCUUUCUUGAUAAAUUGGCUGUCUAGGUAACAGGGAAGGUGAACCCACUGGGCAGUUACACUUUUAUCCACCCUUCCAGCUGGAUCACGCGCCCUCUUCAAUGACAUGACACGCAGCUAGAGUGUAUGAGCUUGCUGCCGGCACCUUCCGUCCUGGAUCGCAUAGCAAGGCCUCAAUGGACAGCCAGGUGCCUGGUCCGGUCCCACUUUUUUUUCUGUCCUGUUCUCGUUUCCUCUUUGCUUGGCCAAAGAGGGUUGGGCCAGGGUCCUGAGUGCAAAGGCUUGGCUUGGUGAAUUAAAGUGGCAGUAGCCGUGUGGCAGAGAAAAUUUGUAGAUGGGUGAAAUCCUGGGCCUACACAGUGACAAAGUGUAUAUAGACAGCCAGCCUAGUUGGUGGAUGUGACAACCCCAGACUCUUCUAGAUUUGUGGAUCCGUGCACCUGCCAGACCUGUCUCUGAGCCAUCUGGGGAGGCUGGGUAAGAUUUCCCCCGUCAGGGCCUGAGCCUCAUCUCCAAGCUGCUGGCUUCAGCCCAGCUGCCACCAGCGCUGUCUCUGUCUUGCGCUUUCCAGAGAGAGACUGACUCAUUUUGAGCUCCAGGCCUACCAGGCAGCCCAACCGCGGCAGUAACUGCCUCUCACACUGAGGAUGGCUCAUGCUCUGGUCCAGCCAUGGCUUGAACACCUCCCAACAAGAACAAAGCCAGACUCAUUCUCCCUAGCAUCUUCUUCCUUGCUCAAAGAUCCCACACCCCGUUAGAAGCUGGAACUGGGUCCUUGUCACCUUCCUCACCUCCCCAGUCGUAGUCUGGUUAAUCCUUACAUCUCACCACGGUCACCGUGGCUAGAUGUGACCUCCGCGAUGCUUCAGGCACGUACCAGGGCAGCCUGGGCAGGGCUGGUCACUGUGAUCUCAUGAGGUGUGAACUUGACCCCGGCCUUCUUUCCUGGGAUGCCGGCUAAGGACACAAGUUCAGUGUUUGCCCUGGCUUGUAGCCCAGCGGGGGCUCCGUCAUCCCCUGGGGAAUGCCUCGGCCUGCAAGACCGCAUACCGCAUUGGAACAGGGAAACCACCUACUUCAGCACCUCCCUCAGCAAGGUGGCAGGUCCCAACAAGCCUUGCACCACGAGGAAGUGGCAGUGGCAUUCGGGAUAUGGCUCCCUGGCCAGCUUGUGAAGUUCAAGGGGCUCGUUACUUCUUACAGCUCACAGUCCCUCCCGGGUCCAGCACACCUGAGGGCUGACCUCCCUCUUGAUUAGUGCAGGGGAAAAGCACUUUAAAAAGCUGUGUCAUGCGUAACUUGCACAUCUUCUGAUUCUGACCUGAAACUGCAUCCCAGGUCGGCACAGACGCAACCCAGUCUCCUCCCACCUCCGAGAGUGCAGUGUCCUGAAUGGAGAACCCCAGCACCCAGAAGCAUCCACUGAAGGACUAAAUUCUACACAUGAAGGCAAACGUCCGUGGUUGACAGAAAUUACACUGGCCAGAAUCCCCAGUCCCCAUGAGGCUUGUCCAGACGCAGUGAACCAGUCGCAGCUGAUAACACACAGACCAUUCCCGAUCCCAGAGAUGUUGUGACAUCAUAUGGAAUUUACGGCAUAA